GAUGAACGCUGGCGGCGUGCCUAAUACAUGCCAGUCGAGCGAACAGACGAGGAGCUUGCUCCUCUGACGUUAGCGGCGGACGGGUGAGUAACACGUGGAUAACCUACCUAUAAGACUGGGAUAACUUCGGGAAACCGGAGCUAAUACCGGAUAAUAUAUUGAACCGCAUGGUUCAAUAGUGAAAGACGGUUUUGCUGUCACUUAUAGAUGGAUCCGCGCCGCAUUAGCUAGUUGGUAAGGUAACGGCUUACCAAGGCAACGAUGCGUAGCCAACCUGAGAGGGUGAUCGGCCACACUGGAACUGAGACACGGUCCAGACUCCUACGGGAGGCAGCAGUAGGGAAUCUUCCGCAAUGGGCGAAAGCCUGACGGAGCGACGCCGCGUGAGUGAUGAAGGUCUUCGGAUCGUAAAACUCUGUUAUUAGGGAAGAACAAAUGUGUAAGUAACUAUGCACGUCUUGACGGUACCUAAUCAGAAAGCCACGGCUAACUACGUG
This 497-nucleotide ribosomal RNA is filed under the name uncultured bacterium. RNAcentral describes it as "partial 16S ribosomal RNA". It matches the Rfam family "Bacterial small subunit ribosomal RNA", at positions 28 to 507 of the family's 1533-position model. The record is from RNAcentral.